GACAGAGGUGCCGAGCGUUAGGCGGAAUCACUGGGCUUAAAGCGUGUGUAGGCGGAUCUGUAAGUACCUUGUGAAAUCCCACGGCUCAACCGUGGAACUGCUUGGUAUACUGCGGGUCUUGAGCCACCUAGGGGCAAGUGGAACAAACGGUGGAGCGGUGAAAUGCGUAGAUAUCGUUUGGAACGCCAAUGGUGAAAACAGGUAGCUGGGAGUGUGCCGACGCUGAGACACGAAAGCCAGGGGAGCGAACGGG
RNAcentral lists this ribosomal RNA (253 nucleotides) under uncultured bacterium. RNAcentral describes it as "partial 16S ribosomal RNA". It matches the Rfam family "Bacterial small subunit ribosomal RNA", at positions 524 to 776 of the family's 1533-position model. The record is from RNAcentral.